RNAcentral lists this ribosomal RNA (465 nucleotides) under uncultured bacterium. Its description in RNAcentral is "partial 16S ribosomal RNA". It matches the Rfam family "Bacterial small subunit ribosomal RNA", at positions 338 to 795 of the family's 1533-position model. The record is from RNAcentral.
CCUACGGGAGGCAGCAGUGGGGAAUAUUGCGCAAUGGGCGAAAGCCUGACGCAGCGACGCCGCGUGAGGGAUGAAGGUCUUCGGAUCGUAAACCUCUGUCCGCAGGGAAGAACGGUCACUGUGCUAAUCAGCAGUGACUUGACGGUACCUGCAAAGGACGCACCGGCUAACUCCGUGCCAGCAGCCGCGGUAAUACGGAGGGUGCGAGCGUUAAUCGGACUUACUGGGCGUAAAGCGCUCGUAGGCGGUAUGUCAAGUCAAGGGUGAAAUCCCCGCGCUCAACGUGGGAACUGCCUUUGAAACUUGUAAACUGGAGUGUGUGAGAGGAUAGUGGAAUUCCAGGUGUAGGAGUGAAAUCCGUAGAUAUCUGGAGGAACAUCAGUGGCGAAGGCGACUAUCUGGCACAUAACUGACGCUGAGGAGCGAAAGCGUGGGUAGCAAACAGGAUUAGAUACCCCUGUAGUC